GACGAACGCUGGCGGCGUGCUUAACACAUGCAAGUCGAACGGAAAGGCCCUGCUUUUGUGGGGUGCUCGAGUGGCGAACGGGUGAGUAACACGUGAGUAACCUGCCCUUGACUUUGGGAUAACUUCAGGAAACUGGGGCUAAUACCGGAUAGGAGCUCCUGCUGCAUGGUGGGGGUUGGAAAGUUUCGGCGGUUGGGGAUGGACUCGCGGCUUAUCAGCUUGUUGGUGGGGUAGUGGCUUACCAAGGCUUUGACGGGUAGCCGGCCUGAGAGGGUGACCGGCCACAUUGGGACUGAGAUACGGCCCAGACUCCUACGGGAGGCAGCAGUGGGGAAUAUUGAACAAUGGGCGGAAGCCUGAUGCAGCAACGCCGCGUGCGGGAUGACGGCCUUCGGGUUGUAAACCGCUUUCGCCUGUGACGAAGCGUGAGUGACGGUAAUGGGUAAAGAAGCACCGGCUAACUACGU
RNAcentral lists this ribosomal RNA (467 nucleotides) under uncultured bacterium. RNAcentral describes it as "partial 16S ribosomal RNA". It matches the Rfam family "Bacterial small subunit ribosomal RNA", at positions 28 to 506 of the family's 1533-position model. The record is from RNAcentral.